GGUACGACGAAACUGGUUAGUGAAAGUGGUCCAAAAAAUGGCGUUAUGUCAAAUCCCGAUCUCGACGAGAAAUUUCACGAAGGAACACGAACGCGGACUUCCAAUAACACCAAGCCACCGUCGAAGAAGUCUCUCUCUUCCCCCAACCCCCAUCAACUCGGCACUCUGCUCUUCCAAGAUCACCGCGGUCUCCCAAGGCGGCGGCAACCAUGGCGAGGGGCGCGCGGUACUCCCGGACGCUCCUCGGCCGGAGAUCCUCCUCGUUCACUCUGAUCCUGGCGGCCCUCCUGACCGCGUCGGUCGUCCUGCCGAUGCUCCUCGGCUUCGGAGUCUUCUCGCUCCCCGUCGGUUCCGACGACCGCGCUAAGCCUGACCUCCGCCCCCUUCGAUCCGUCCACGAAGCAUUUUGCAGGAAGGAUGAUAUGGGGCAGAUAGGGGAUCAGUGGACGGAGGUGCUCUCGUGGGAGCCUAGGGCGUUUAUAUACCACAAAUUUCUGUCCAAGAAAGAGUGUGACUAUCUGAUUGAGUUAGCGAAGCCUCACAUGGAGAAAUCAACAGUUGUUGAUAGUGCCACUGGUUGGAGUAAAGACCGCAGGGUGAGGACGAGUUCGAGCAUGUUUCUUAGAAGAGGAAAAGACAAAAUUAUCUGUGCAAUUGAGAAAAGGAUAGCAGAUUAUACCUUUAUACCUGUAGGUAGUAUUCAGCAUAUUAUACAAACUGAAGAACUUCAUCGUUGGGUUCUCCAUUAUGAAGUUGGUCAGAAAUACGAUCCGCACUAUGAUUCUUUCCAUGAUGAAUUCAAUACCAAGAAUGGGGGUCAACGUAUUGCUACCCUUCUCAUGUAUCUUAUAUCUGUUGCUCAGUUCUCAUGUUGAGGAAGGUGGUGAAACUGUGUUUCCCUUCUGAGAAGGUAAAUAGCAGUUCUUUACCAUGGUAUAAUGAGCUAUCAGACUGUGCAAAGCAGUUUCUUUCUGUUAAAACCAAAAGAUGGGAGAUGCAUUACUCUUCUGGAGCAUGAGGCCAGAUGCCACUCCAGAUCCAUCUAGUUUGCACGGUGGAUGUCCUGUUAUUAAAGGAAAUAAGUGGUCUUCUACAAAGUGGAUGCGCAUGCAUGAGUACAGGGCUUAGCUACCAAACUAAACAAGAAUUUUCCUGUCAUCAUGAUUCAUGAUGAGAUACGAAGCAGACCUAGAGAUGGCAACCUGAGAUACGAAGCAGCAGACCUAUCGUCAGUCUUGAUGAUAGUAGCAGUGAUGCUCGGGAUGGUUAGAGAAAAAGAGGAUGAUAUGAGGCAUAUAAAGUAACCUUAUAAAUUCUUGAUUCCGGUGGUUGGGGAUGUAAAUGUAUGACAAAGCAACUUUAGUCUCCUUUUUUUCAAACUCACAAGAAUAUAAAUGUUCACCAAAUGGGUUAUGGUUA
This is an RNA transcript of Musa acuminata AAA Group (dessert banana), 1419 nucleotides long. It is a transcript of the gene named probable prolyl 4-hydroxylase 3, with no coding region annotated. The transcript has 8 exons. NCBI's taxonomy places the organism in Eukaryota, Viridiplantae, Streptophyta, Magnoliopsida, Zingiberales, Musaceae. The record is from RefSeq and is a predicted model, not a curated record.